RNAcentral lists this ribosomal RNA (177 nucleotides) under Helicobacter pylori. RNAcentral describes it as "partial 23S ribosomal RNA". It matches the Rfam family "Bacterial large subunit ribosomal RNA", at positions 1915 to 2091 of the family's 2925-position model. Lineage: Bacteria; Pseudomonadati; Campylobacterota; Epsilonproteobacteria; Campylobacterales; Helicobacteraceae. The record is from RNAcentral.
AAGCCCGAGUAAACGGCGGCCGUAACUAUAACGGUCCUAAGGUAGCGAAAUUCCUUGUCGGUUAAAUACCGACCUGCAUGAAUGGCGUAACGAGAUGGGAGCUGUCUCAACCAGAGAUUCAGUGAAAUUGUAGUGGAGGUGAAAAUUCCUCCUACCCGCGGCAAGACGGGAAGACCC